Gossypium hirsutum (cotton) is the source of this 106-nucleotide non-coding RNA. Lineage: Eukaryota; Viridiplantae; Streptophyta; Magnoliopsida; Malvales; Malvaceae. The record is from Rfam.
AACCCAUGAUGAAGGCACCUUCUUAAUAAAUCCUUAUACCUCUCCCAUGCAUCAUAUAAGGUUUUUAAAUCCAUUUUACAAAGGAAGAGAUAUCAUUCCUCAAUUU